Molecule: ribosomal RNA, 519 nt
Filed under: uncultured bacterium
Lineage: Bacteria
Description: partial 16S ribosomal RNA
Rfam family: Bacterial small subunit ribosomal RNA
Source: RNAcentral
UGGGGAAUAUUGCACAAUGGGCGCAAGCCUGAUGCAGCCAUGCCGCGUGUGUGAAGAAGGCCUUCGGGUUGUAAAGCACUUUCAGCGAGGAGGAAGGUGGUGAGCUUAAUACGCUCAUCAAUUGACGUUACUCGCAGAAGAAGCACCGGCUAACUCCGUGCCAGCAGCCGCGGUAAUACGGAGGGUGCAAGCGUUAAUCGGAAUUACUGGGCGUAAAGCGCACGCAGGCGGUUUGUUAAGUCAGAUGUGAAAUCCCCGGGCUCAACCUGGGAACUGCAUUUGAAACUGGCAGCUAGAGUCUCGUAGAGGGGGGUAGAAUUCCAGGUGUAGCGGUGAAAUGCGUAGAGAUCUGGAGGAAUACCGGUGGCGAAGGCGGCCCCCUGGACGAAGACUGACGCUCAGGUGCGAAAGCGUGGGGCAGCAAACAGGAUUAGAUACCCCUGGUAGUCCAGCGCUGUAAAACGAUGUCGAUUUUGGAGGUUGUGCCCCUUGAGGCGUGGCUUCCGGAGCUAACGCGUU